AAGGCUAAAUACUCCCUAGUGACCGAUAGUGAACCAGUACCGUGAGGGAAAGGUGAAAAGAACCGCGGGUAGCGGAGUGAAAUAGAACCUGAAAUCGUCGAGUCCACAAACAGUCAGAGCACCAUGUUCGGAGUAAUCCGUUCAAGUGCGAUGGCGUACCUUUUGCAGAAUGAGCCUGCGAGUUAUUGGUGUUGGCAAGCCUAAGUGUUUCAGACAUGGAGGCGGAGGGAAACCGAGUCCGAAUAGGGCGUCAAGUCAGCAUCAGUAGACCCGAAACUGCGUGAUCUAGCCAUGGUCAGGUUGAAGUGAUGGUAACACAUCAUGGAGGACCGAACUCAUUGACGUUGAAAAGUCUCGGGAUGAACUGUGGUUAGUCCGGUGAAAUGCCAAUCGAACGCAGAGAUAGCUGGUUCUCCCCGAAAUGCAUUGAGGUGCAGCGUCUGGAAUUGUUUAAUGGGGGUAGAGCACUGAAUGGGCUAGGGGUCUUACCCGAUUACCGAACCCAACCAAACUCCGAAUACCAUUAAAUUGAGCCAGGCAGUGAGACGGCGAGUGAUAAGAUCCGUCGUCAAAAGGGAAACAACCCAGAUCGACAGCUAAGGGCCCUAAACGAUGACUAAGUGUGAAACGAUGUGAGAUCGCGUAAACAGCCAGGAGGUUGGCUUGGAAGCAGCCACCCUUUAAAAAGUGCGUAACAGCUUACUGGCCGAAUGUGAUCUUGCGCGGAUAAUGUAAGGGGGCUAAAGUCAUCUCCCGAAGCUUCGGGAUCAUCGCAAGAUGAUCGGUAGGGGAGCGUUGAGUGUGCUGUGAAGCUAUAGCGGAAGCAAUGGUGGAGCGCACGCAAGUGAGAAUGCAGGCAUGAGUAGUGAUAAGAAAGGUGAGAAUCCUUUCCGCCGAAAAUCUAAGGUUUCUCCGGCUAUGUUCGUCAGACGGAGGUUAGGCGGUCCCUAAGGUGAGGCCAGAAGGCGUAGCCGAUGGACAUCCAGUAGACAUUCUGGACCCAGUUAUAUGAGCCAAGGGAGGACGUUUCUCAAGAUCUGAUCCCGCACUGUUGGUAGUUGCGGGCUAGGCCGAAACCCUAGUUCCUGUUAAGGGAACUUUUCAAGUGGGCGGGGCCGGGGAAGGAAGCCCUUCGGGGUGACCGAACUCAGAUUGCGAGGGGCCUAGAAAAUUCCCGUAGCGUUAAUUGUAUAGCUGACCGUACUGCAAACCGACACAGGUAGAUGAGUCGAGGAGACUCAGGCGUUCGAGAGAACUCUCGUUAAGGAACUAGGCAAAUGAGCCCCGUACGUUCGCAAUAAGGGGCGCCCCGCAAGGGGCCGCAGCGAAGCAUCCAUGGCGACUGUUUACCAAAAACACAGGUCUCUGCUAAGGCGAAAGCCGAAGUAUAGGGGCUGACACCUGCCCAAUGCUCGUAGGUUAACAGGAGAUGUUAGGGAAACCGAAGCAUUGAAUCGAAGCCCGAGUGAAUGGCGGCCGUAACUCUAACGGUCCUAAGGUAGCGAAAUUCCUUGUCGGCUAAAUACCGACCCGCAUGAAAGGUGUAACGACUAUGGAACUGUCUC
RNAcentral lists this ribosomal RNA (1565 nucleotides) under Austrofundulus limnaeus. Its description in RNAcentral is "bacterial LSU rRNA". It matches the Rfam family "Bacterial large subunit ribosomal RNA", at positions 462 to 2022 of the family's 2925-position model. Lineage: Eukaryota; Metazoa; Chordata; Actinopteri; Cyprinodontiformes; Rivulidae. The record is from RNAcentral.